RNAcentral lists this transfer RNA (67 nucleotides) under Rhynchophorus ferrugineus (red palm weevil). Its description in RNAcentral is "tRNA-Ser". Lineage: Eukaryota; Metazoa; Arthropoda; Insecta; Coleoptera; Curculionidae. The record is from RNAcentral.
GGAUUAAGAAAUUUCAAAGAUAGGCUUCUAACCUAGUCUUUAAGCAGUGGAAUCUGUUUUUAAUUCU